This 76-nucleotide transfer RNA is filed under the name Rhodospirillaceae bacterium. Its description in RNAcentral is "tRNA-Phe". It matches the Rfam family "tRNA". From Rfam's summary of the family: Transfer RNA (tRNA) molecules are approximately 80 nucleotides in length. Lineage: Bacteria; Pseudomonadati; Pseudomonadota; Alphaproteobacteria; Rhodospirillales; Rhodospirillaceae. The record is from RNAcentral. RNAcentral also lists the same sequence under 3 other names.
GCCGAAGUAGCUCAGUUGGUAGAGCAACGGAUUGAAAAUCCGUGUGUCCCCAGUUCGAAUCUGGGCUUCGGCACCA